RNAcentral lists this unclassified non-coding RNA (372 nucleotides) under soil metagenome. RNAcentral describes it as "partial contains 5.8S ribosomal RNA, internal transcribed spacer 2, and large subunit ribosomal RNA". The stretch from base 1 to 120 matches the Rfam family "5.8S ribosomal RNA", at positions 35 to 154 of the family's 154-position model. The record is from RNAcentral.
GAUGAAGAACGUAGCGAAAUGCGAUACGUAAUGUGAAUUGCAGAAUUCAGUGAAUCAUCGAAUCUUUGAACGCACAUUGCGCCCUUUGGUAUUCCGAAGGGCAUGCCUGUUCGAGCGUCAUUAUCACCCCUCAAGCCCUCGGCUUGGUGUUGGACGGUUUGGUGGAGGCCCCCUCGGGGGCUCCUGCCCCUCCCAAAGACAAUGACGGCGGCCUCGUUGGACCCCCGGUACACUGAGUUCUUCACGGGACACGUAUCGGACACAUGGGUUUACGGGACACGGUCUGCCUCCCCUCAGGGAGAAUCUUUCUAAGGUUGACCUCGGAUCAGGUAGGGAUACCCGCUGAACUUAAGCAUAUCAAUAAGCGGAGGA